GUUGUGGCUCAGUGAUAGAGCACUCGCCUAGCAUGCACAAGGCACCGAGUUCGAUCCUCAGCACAACA
RNAcentral lists this transfer RNA (68 nucleotides) under Marmota monax (woodchuck). RNAcentral describes it as "tRNA.Ala". Lineage: Eukaryota; Metazoa; Chordata; Mammalia; Rodentia; Sciuridae. The record is from RNAcentral.